Molecule: ribosomal RNA, 253 nt
Filed under: uncultured bacterium
Lineage: Bacteria
Description: partial 16S ribosomal RNA
Rfam family: Bacterial small subunit ribosomal RNA
Source: RNAcentral
UACGGGGGGGGCAAGCGUUGUUCGGAAUUACUGGGCGUAAAGGGCCAGUAGGCGGCCAACUAAGUCCGACGUGAAAUCCCAAGGCUUAACCUUGGAACUGCGUCGGAUACUGGAUGGCUUGAAUUCGGGAGAGGGAUGCAGAAUUCCAGGUGUAGCGGUGAAAUGCGUAGAUAUCUGGAGGAACACCGGUGGCGAAGGCGGAUCUCUGGGCCUGUUCUGACGCUGAGGCGCGAAAGCUAGGGGAGCGAACAGG